RNAcentral lists this ribosomal RNA (460 nucleotides) under Streptococcus constellatus. RNAcentral's name for it is "bacterial SSU rRNA". It matches the Rfam family "Bacterial small subunit ribosomal RNA", at positions 28 to 470 of the family's 1533-position model. The record is from RNAcentral. Lineage: Bacteria; Bacillati; Bacillota; Bacilli; Lactobacillales; Streptococcaceae.
GACGAACGCUGGCGGCGUGCCUAAUACAUGCAAGUAGAACGCACAGGAUGCACCGUAGUUUACUACACCGUAUUCUGUGAGUUGCGAACGGGUGAGUAACGCGUAGGUAACCUGCCUGGUAGCGGGGGAUAACUAUUGGAAACGAUAGCUAAUACCGUAUAAGAACAUUUACUGCAUGGUAGAUGUUUAAAAGGUGCAAGAGCAUCACUACCAGAUGGACCUGCGUUGUAUUAGCUAGUUGGUGAGGUAACGGCUCACCAAGGCAACGAUACAUAGCCGACCUGAGAGGGUGAUCGGCCACACUGGGACUGAGACACGGCCCAGACUCCUACGGGAGGCAGCAGUAGGGAAUCUUCGGCAAUGGGGGGAACCCUGACCGAGCAACGCCGCGUGAGUGAAGAAGGUUUUCGGAUCGUAAAGCUCUGUUGUUAAGGAAGAACGUGUGUGAGAGUGGAAAGUU